This 440-nucleotide ribosomal RNA is filed under the name uncultured bacterium. Its description in RNAcentral is "partial 16S ribosomal RNA". It matches the Rfam family "Bacterial small subunit ribosomal RNA", at positions 338 to 795 of the family's 1533-position model. The record is from RNAcentral.
CCUACGGGUGGCAGCAGUGGGGGAUAUUGCACAAUGGGGGAAACCCUGAUGCAGCGACGCCGCGUGAGUGAAGAAGUAUUUCGGUAUGGUAAGCUCUUUCAGCAGGGAAGAAAAUGACAGUACCUGACCAAGAAGCCCUGGCUACCUACGUGCCAGCGGCCGCGGUAAUGCGUGGGGGGCAGGCGUUAUCCGGAUGUACUGGGUGUUAAGGGAGCGUAGACGGUUAUGUAAGUAUGGAGUGAAAGCCCGGGGCCCCACCCCGGGCCUGCUUUGGAAACUGGGUAACUGGAGUACAGGAGGGGCAGGCGGAAUGCCUGGUGUAGCGGUGAAAUGCGUAGAUAUCAGGAGGAACACCGGCGGCGAAGGCGGCCUGCUGGACUGAAACUGACGUUGAGGCUCGAAAGCGUGGGGAGCGAACAGGAUUAGAUACCCCAGUAGUC